CAAUAGCGUAUAUUAAAGUUGUUGCAGUUAAAAAGCUCGUAGUUGGACCUUGGACCUGGACAGGCGGUCCGCCUCACGGCGUGUACUGUCUUGCUGGGUCUUUCCUCUUGGUGAUCUGUUGUUUCGGCAGCAGGGAACCAGGACUUUUACUUUGAAAAAAUUAGAGUGUUCAAAGCAGGCUCGACGCCGGAAUAUAUUAGCAUAGAAUAAUAAAAUAGGACGUGCGGUUCUAUUUUGUUGGUUUUUGGAAUCGCCGUAAUGAUUAGUAGGGACAGUCGGGGGCAUUAGUACUCACAUGCUAGAGGUGAAAUUCUUGGAUUUUGUGAAGACUAACUUCUGCGAAAGCAUUUGCCAAGGAUGUUUUCAUUAA
This 370-nucleotide ribosomal RNA is filed under the name uncultured eukaryote. RNAcentral describes it as "partial 18S ribosomal RNA". It matches the Rfam family "Eukaryotic small subunit ribosomal RNA", at positions 592 to 976 of the family's 1831-position model. The record is from RNAcentral.